This 691-nucleotide long non-coding RNA is filed under the name Triticum aestivum (bread wheat). RNAcentral's name for it is "long non-coding RNA (TAES_LNC001659)". Lineage: Eukaryota; Viridiplantae; Streptophyta; Magnoliopsida; Poales; Poaceae. The record is from RNAcentral.
GAAAUAAAAGUGAAAAAGUUGGGUACACAUCAUCUUUAUUUAUGCAUGUACUAAUUUACAAAAACUUAUUAAUCAAAAGAACAACAAUUCUUUUUACAUAACCAUCAAUUUGGGAGGUGAUGUACAGGAAGCAUGAACACCAAAGUACAUAUGGAAUCAUAUAUAAGAUUGUACAAUAUUCAAACCAUUAACACACGCAUCAGACUGCACUGAUUUGAUAGUAUUCAACAUGGGCCCUCCAAAUCCCCUUCCUGACAGCGUGGUUUUGCUCCAACGCAGCAGACCUACAAUUGAGUAGAGCUCUGUAAGACGUUGCUCAUAGGAGAUGUGCCUAAAGAUGACAUGCUACUCACAUCAGCUUAUUUCAGUGCUCCACGUUUAUCAGAAAACUACAAAUAAGUAUUGUCUAGAAUAUAUGUAAUUAGCUAGUACAACUACAUCCAGUCGUCAUCAUUACACAUAAUUGCACCAAGAAAUAGGUUUCUAAUCCAUCUAUGAGGUUGCACGCUCUCUGAAUCUCUAAACUCGCAUAUCUCUGGACAUGCACUACUUGACAAUAACCUACUGCACCUGGGCUGCAAUUUCGACCUCACCAGAAACCUUGUCCACUGGCGCAGUGGGCUAUGGGCGACCAACAGAAUGCUGCCUCUUAGAACUGCAGCUGCGGACAUAGAUAAGCAGUAGAUCAUGG